Papaver somniferum (opium poppy) is the source of this 1063-nucleotide long non-coding RNA. RefSeq lists it as uncharacterized. The record is from RefSeq and is a predicted model, not a curated record. The transcript is spliced from 5 exons. Lineage: Eukaryota; Viridiplantae; Streptophyta; Magnoliopsida; Ranunculales; Papaveraceae.
UCUCCUUGGUCACAUGACUCGGUCAUUCCCCUCCAUUUUUGUCUCGGCUUAUCCGCUUCUUCUCUUUCUUCAUCUCUGCAAAAAAAAUGGUUCUCUGUUAGGGUUUGAGGAUUUGGAUUUGGGUUUCGAUUUGAAGUUUCAGUUUGAAGCAGAAGAUUAGGAACAACUGGAGUUGGAGAGAUUCUUGGAAGAAGAAGAUGAUACUGGGUUCCAACUUCUACUAAAUAAAGGUGACCGAACUAAAGGAAAAGGAAGGCUAGAACGAACUAAAGGAAAAGGAAGGCGAGUACUACGUUUGGCUUGAGUGACUUCACAAAACGUCAGUUGAAGCAGUAGUAGCCAGCCGGGGAAAUGUCUAGCGGGAACUGAGUUUGUACUUGCGAGGUAAUACUCUAGCGGGAACUGCAGUGUAAUUGGAGAGGUGGAAGGUGGAAUUAAGGUACUUUAUUGAUAUCCUUAGGACCAUUGUGUUGUUGUUGUAUCAAUCUGAACCAUGUAAUAUGUGGAUCAGGAUAGGUUGGGGUACUUGUAUUUUCGACAACUCCCUACUUUUUUUUUCUCAUUUUGUAUAUACCUAAAAUCACUUCAUUUCUGUGUACAUGCUGGUAACAAUGUUACGACUGGUGGGGAAGCUUGCUUUACUUUGGGGUGGUCUUCGUGAUGCUAUGAUCUUGACUGACAAGCUAAGUUCUUACACAUUUCAAGAGCGCCCCUUGCCUCAGAGGUUUGGUGAAUGGUCUGUGGGAUGGAUCGAAUGUGAUGAUGGCUUGAGAAUGUUUCCUUCUUGGAAGAGAUGACUCGUGCAAGAGCAAUGGGCAUUGAAGUUACUGCAUAGCUGCUGCGGCAUUGGAUUCAUCAACUUCAUCAAAUUCUGCUUCAAAUGUGAAGGCAACUGAUUAUGUGAGUCCUGUUUUUGUUGGUUGAUUCUUAUCUCAUAUACUUAGGAAUAUUGUUGGUUGAUUCUUAUCUCAUAUACUCUAGGAAUAUAACCUAGAAAUUAUGCAAUAAAAUAAAAAUGUAGAAAGAACAAAAUUUAGUGUUAAUAAAGGAAGUUAUUGUUGAA